This 367-nucleotide RNase P RNA is filed under the name Bacteroidota bacterium. RNAcentral describes it as "Bacteroidetes bacterium (activated sludge metagenome) RNase P RNA component class A". It matches the Rfam family "Bacterial RNase P class A". From Rfam's summary of the family: Ribonuclease P (RNase P) is a ubiquitous endoribonuclease, found in archaea, bacteria and eukarya as well as chloroplasts and mitochondria. Its best characterised activity is the generation of mature 5'-ends of tRNAs by cleaving the 5'-leader elements of precursor-tRNAs. Lineage: Bacteria; Pseudomonadati; Bacteroidota. The record is from RNAcentral.
GCAGCAGGCCGUUCUAUCGCUGCUUUUCCUUUAUUGGAAGAGGAGAGGAAAGUCCGGGCAACACAGAGCAUCCCACUUCCUAACAGGAAGGCCUUAUUGCUUGCAAUAGGGACAGAAAGUGCCGCAGAGAACUAUACCGCCUUUUCGCUUGCGAAAAGGUAAGGGUGAAAACGUGAGGUAAGAGCUCACGGCUAACAUUGGCAACAGUGGUAGCGGGUAAACCUUGGGAGUUGAAAGACCAAAUAAACCGAAGCGUGAGGGCUGCUCGCUCAAUUUCGGAGGGUAGGUUGCUUGAUCCUUCUGGUGACGGAAGGGCUAGAUAAAUGAUAGGACACGACAGAACCCGGCUUAUAGGCCUGCUUUUUUU